GAAUCCCGUCUUUGACAUGGACUACCAGUGCAUUUGUGGUGUGCUCUCAAAGAGUCGAGUUGUUUGGGAAUGCAGCUCUAAAUGGGUGGUAAACUCCAUCUAAAGCUAAAUAUUGGCGAGAGACCGAUAGCGAACAAGUACCGUGAGGGAAAGAUGAAAAGAACUUUGGAAAGAGAGUUAAACAGUAUGUGAAAUUGUUGAAAGGGAAACGCUUGAAGUCAGUCGCGUCGACCGAGACUCAGCCUUGCCUUGGCUUGGUGUACUUCUCGGCCUGACGGGUCAGCAUCAAUUUUGCCCCUUGGAUAAUGGCGAGGGAAAUGUGACACCUUUACGGUGUGUUAUAGUCUCUUGUCGCAUGCAAGGGUUGGGAUUGAGGAACUCAGCACGCACCUUUGGGUGUCGGGGCUUUGCCCACGAUACGUGCUUAGGAUGUUGGCGUAAUGGCUUUAAACGACCCGUCUUGAAACACGGACCAAGGAGUCUAACAUGCCUGCGAGUGUUCGGGUGGAAAACUCGUGCGCGCAAUGAAAGUGAAAGUUGGGACCUCUGUCGUGGAGGGCACCGACGCCCGGACCAGACCUUCUGUGACAGCUCUGCGGUAAAGCAUGUAUGUUAGGACCCGAAAGAUGGUGAACUAUGCCUGAAUAGGGUGAAGCCAGAGGAAACUCUGGUGGAGGCUCGUAGCGAUUCUGACGUGCAAAUCGAUCGUCAAAUUUGGGUAUAGGGGCGAAAGACUAAUCGAACCAUCUAGUAGCUGGUUCCUGCC
Molecule: ribosomal RNA, 766 nt
Filed under: uncultured Russula
Lineage: Eukaryota; Fungi; Basidiomycota; Agaricomycetes; Russulales; Russulaceae
Description: partial 28S ribosomal RNA
Rfam family: Eukaryotic large subunit ribosomal RNA
Source: RNAcentral